UUAGCUCUCCUGCUCAGCGAGUAACGUGACUUCAAGUUUGGACACCAAUCAUAUCUUUCAACCUCAAUUCUACCUCGUCGCAUUACAGCUGCCACAUCAGCAGUAAUGGUACCAACACUAGUAAACCAAGCCUCAACAUUAGGUGAAAUGACUUGUGAGUUUCUCCGGUUAGCCUCCGCUCUUUGAUGCACCCCAAUUCUGAUAUUCUCCAGCUUCUCAGAUUCAUUUUCCAUAGAUCUGAUGUUUCUCUUGUAGUAAACGAAAUACCCAAUCCCUCGCGCAACUGGCUGGAUCAAGCAAUCUGUUACCUUGUCCACAAAAAUAGAUAAGAUUUCCAUAUCUGAUUGAUUAAUUCUUCACUAGAUUUCUUAGUUACAAGGUAGAAUGAAAAUAGGUUGAGAGUGAAUUGAAAGCUGAUAAUUGCAGGGCUUUCAGGUAGGUACUACUAUUAACUCUCCUUCACCAUCUUGAAAGUGACUAAUCAACAAACACAUUAUUGAGGCACUUAAUUCAACUUGUAGUUUCUUCAAAAAAUCGUCAUAUCAUAUCAUAUUAAUUUAAUGUUUGAGGUAUAAAUUACGAGAUAAAAUAAUUAAUACUCCCUCCAUUUCAUAUUAAUUUAAUUUUUGAGGUGUUUCACACCCUUUAAAAAAAGUAGAUUAAGAUAUAAAUUGAACAUAGUUUUCCAUUUUUACCCAUAUUAAUUAUUGUCAAUUUUAUGAUUAAAAUAACUAAAUAUUAAUUAAUCACUAAUUCCAAUACUAACUAAUGAAGGAUAAAAUUGGAAGAACACUCUAAAAGUAAUCUUAAAAACUGAACAAUUAAGUUAAUUUAAAAUAUGAAAAAUACCUCAAAAAUUAAAUUAAUAUGGAAUGGAGGGUCAAUCAAUGCUAAAUUAAAUGUUGUUCCAGCUGUGAGAUGUUGAAGUUUUAACCUCUUCUGAAAAAGUCUAAACAUCAAGUUGUAUUAAUUUUAUCAACAACUACCGUCUGGUUUGCCGACAAAAUUAUAGGUUUUGAAUUAUAAUUUUGGGAUUAUUUUAAUUCAUCUAAGAGGUAAGAUAAAAUAAUAACAAUUUGAAUAGGAUAAGAUAGAAUAUCUAGUAUUAAGAUUGAGAUUUAAUUACUCUAAAUAAUUGAAGGUAUAAAUUUAACAUGGACAGAAAUAUUCAACAAAGACAUUAUACUAUGUCAAUUUGAAUUAAUCAGAACUGCAAUAUAGAAGUAUUAUAUAUCAGCUGAAAAAUAUAUUUUAAAAAGUUAUUUUUAAAUAAACGCGUCAAACGUGAUAAAAAGUAGACUAAGUCUGCUAGCUUUCAGUAGAUGAAAAUGCUACAUAAAAUAUAUUAUUUGAUUUCACAUUGCUUAUGAUGAGUAAUUACACUAUGAACUUCAUUAGUUUCAACUUCAAUUGAAACACUAACAAGGGUCGUGGUGGAGUGAUAAGUACUAUUUUAUCCUUAAUCGAGAAGUCUUGAGAAUUGAGUCUCCUUGUAUAGGGAGGGAGUCCCUUUUGUUAGGAAUUAAUCACUUUACCCACCCAAAUUCAAUAUAGGACUUUCUGAUGUGAAUCUGAAUUUAAUCAUGCUCCAAUGUGAAUACGAGAUGAGAAAAAAAAAACUUUAGCUAAAACAUUCAAAUAUUAUUUUAAGUAAUAUUAUGAAGUUAUGGCGGCCUUAUAUGUUACCAGAUGGUGCAAGAAAGCUGGCUAUUCUAGGUCAAUGACUUCUUUGCUAAAGAGACCUCUUCAAGUGGAAGUAGUGCCUAUAAGUAGGCCAACAAGGCUUUAACACACCAUCUUAAGGAAUAUUUACAAUUUUUUAACCACUAGACUAAACAUUUCACUAUUAUCAUGGGGUGUUAAUACUUUUAUAUAUAUUUAUUAAACCAAAAUUUUACCUCUAUAUACAAUGUAAUUUUUUGGCGAAGGGGUGUCGCUCGACACCCCUUGACCAAGCGUGGGUCCGCCCCUAGAUACGACAAAUGUACUUUUUUGUUAGUUGAACCAUUGUAUUUUGCCUAUAGUAUGUCAUUUUGUCGAUUGUUUAGAUUAUCCUCGUUGUUAGGUCCAUGUCUCUCUAUGCUUUUGUAAAUUUUUGAAUGUUAAAUAGUUUUUGAAACUUAUGGAUAUAAAUCAUGUUUCUUUAAAAAGUCAAAUAUUUCUCACAAAAAUUAUAAUCAAAACACAUAAUGAAACUUCACCAAAAAAUGACCAGUCAAAAAUAUUUGAGAAUCUAUAGCAAAACUCUAGCUUCAUCUUAAAUAUUCAUAUUCAGUAUAAAUAAGUCAUAUCUUGCUAUUUACUAAUCCAUCAUUUGUGGAUUUCCAGACAUCUUAACAUAUACUAAUAUUUAUGACUGUUGGUCCAUAACUUCUCUUGGCAAAAAUCUUGUAACAGUCAUGGCCCUCCCAACAUUUUUACAUAUUUGAUAAAAUGAACCUAGCAUUUUGUGCUUCCACAGAAAGAAGAAUAUUACACACUAGUCUUGGUAAAUCCUCAAACAAAAUUGUAUAACGAAAUGGCCUUUUGGCAAACGAUCCACUUAAUCUAUUUUGAGUUCUCCAAAUAUCUCCUUCUCCUCAUGCAAUGUGUUAAAUACAGAAGUCAGCUCUGGGAAUGCGGACACCAGUAAUAGCUCGAGAAGAUCAAGGACUAACUGCUUCACACA
This 2668-nucleotide long non-coding RNA is filed under the name Solanum tuberosum (potato). RNAcentral describes it as "long non-coding RNA (STUB_LNC011740)". The record is from RNAcentral. Lineage: Eukaryota; Viridiplantae; Streptophyta; Magnoliopsida; Solanales; Solanaceae.